RNAcentral lists this non-coding RNA (30 nucleotides) under Homo sapiens (human). Lineage: Eukaryota; Metazoa; Chordata; Mammalia; Primates; Hominidae. The record is from RNAcentral.
UCAGCCAAAACACUCUAGGGUCCUCUUCAA